This 103-nucleotide microRNA precursor is filed under the name Marmota monax (woodchuck). The record is from RNAcentral. Lineage: Eukaryota; Metazoa; Chordata; Mammalia; Rodentia; Sciuridae.
AGUGGGAUAGCUGGGUCAAAUGAUGGUUCCAUUCCAAGUUUUCCAAGGAAUCUCCAUACUGCUUUCUAUAUUGGCUGCACCAAUUUGCAGUCCCACCAGCAAU